This is an RNA transcript of Monomorium pharaonis (pharaoh ant), 3160 nucleotides long. RefSeq lists it as uncharacterized. The transcript has 10 exons. NCBI's taxonomy places the organism in Eukaryota, Metazoa, Arthropoda, Insecta, Hymenoptera, Formicidae. The record is from RefSeq and is a predicted model, not a curated record.
GUAACGUGUAACACCCUUUCGGCGCGAGGUUAUCGGUUUGUCCGCUUUUUUCGCAUUUUACCGGCAAUUAGAGAAUUUUGCGACCUAUAAAAGCGGGAGAAUCCCGCGUUCCCUACCAGUCUUACAUCAGGGGCCACACUAUGAUGAAUGCCCUUACUGUAUUACUGCUGUGCCUAACGGCCGGGUAUGCGUUACCAGUACACUUUCCUGCUGAGAAAACGGUUAUUUACAAUUACUAUGCCGACGUGAAAACUGGGGUUUUUGAACCAACGCAUUAUAUCUCCCAAUUCAGUCUCGCAGGACAACUUCACAUAACGAAGGAUGUCAGUGAUUCGACUUUAAAUAAUGCCUUACGUCAAAUUGAACAACGUAAAGUAUGGCAUGUACAAUGGCAUGGUUACCAUGUCUCAGCCGGCCGAAGUUCUUCAUGAACUCGGAGAAGCCGCACAAGAAAUCCAAGAGCCGUUCAUGAUCGUUUACGACGAAUAUGGCAAGUUCCAAGGCAUCAAAAUGCCGGAAACAGAGAGCGGUUGGUCUAGAAACAUCAAGCAAGCUAUUGCCUCGAUGCUGCAAUUGGAUUUAGCUCAUAUACACAUGGAAACUCCGAUGAAACCGCACGCUUUCAUCACGCAGGAGAACACUAUCCACGGUACCUGCCAAGUCGCCUACGAUGUUCACCCGAAGGUCGCAUCAAAUAUGGAAAACGUCAACGUUUUCAUGGUCACUAAAAUGCACGAUAUGAGGAACUGCAGCCACUUCGUUCAGCGCGUCUUCGAUCACAACGAAUGUGAGAAAUGUCAUAUGGAGCCUGUGGAUGACGUGGUUACUUCCGCCAAUAGAGUCUUCGAGAUCAAGCAGCAGGAUAAUGACAUUCUCAUCAAGCGUCUGGUUGCUCACUCAACUAUCGUUUAUUCCCCUUGGAAUAGCCAAUCUGAUACUCACUAUGUCUCGACUAACACUACUUUGGAUCUGCAUUCCGUAGUACAAAUGACGGAAGUUCCUGUGUGGCUGUGAAUGUUCAGAAUGUGCCUAUUAUUCGUGACAUUACUUUCAACAACCGAUAGGAAAUUAUGCUUCCCACGCUGCCGAAGAUCUCACUCAUGGUCGACAUAUUGUGAAAUUGGACACGCUCAUCCCUAAACUUAAGAAGAUGUUGGUCGAAGCUGCUGAUUAUCUCGAAGAAAAUCACUUGGAAGCCAAAGAACCCGAAUGGAAGCACGGGCAAACAUCAACAGGCUGCAGCACUAUGAGCUACAUGGAUCUGGGUUCGCUGGAGCAAGUUUACAUGCCAUUCAGGAUCCAAAGACCCCAAGGAAGUCACGAUGAAGAAUAUCUUCUUGCGAAUGAUUCCAACUGUGGGCACAGCCGCCCCCAGCUAUUUUGUACGAAUGUUGUCGUAAGCAUAAAGUCAACGAAGAUACUGCUGUCGCAAUGUUGAUGAAAUUGCCGAUGCAUGUCAAAGUACCAUCUGAAGGAUUACUUCUGGAAAUGGAAGACCUGUUAAAAUUCGGUAGCACUGUAUCACCGCUUGUCAGAAAGACCAGCAUCCUCUCCUUCUCCAUUUUGAUUCGCAAGACGUUUCAUGCAUCAGCAGAGCGAUAUCGUCAAUCCUCUUCUGGAAAGAUAUCUUCACCGUUUCCUCGAUCAUCUUAAGAAUGAACAAUCAUACGAUAUGAAAAUGGUAUAUCUGAUGGCAAUAAAGAACGUACAAGUCGGCAAUAUUGAAAAGCUUUUAGAACCAAUUAUCCGUGGCGAACUUAUGAUAUCCGAGAAUCAUCCAUAUCAUAUUCGCGUUCAAGCAAUCUGGGCCAUCAAGAAGGCAGUCGCCGACAAAGUCGAGUACACUCAUAACUUGCUCUGGCCUAUUCUCGUUGAUGUCAGUCAACACUACCUAUGAGGCUUGUCGCUUAUGAUGUCUUAAUGAGCCAAAUGCCAAACAUGCAACGUAUGAUGAACAUUUACUGGCUCAUGAAUUCUGAGCGGAACAACCAUCUGUACAACUAUCAUCUUACUACCCUAAAAGGACUAGCUAAUUCCGUUGAUCCUUGUCUUAUGCCAGUUCGCGAAAUGGCCAGGAAGAUUUUACGUUUCACAGCAAUCAGACCAGUCACCACUAUGCUUUCGUCUAAACAGUUUGUUGACUAUACAGAUCCUAUAUACGAAUACGGUGAAUCCCUGAAUAUCGCCUGGGUUCUCGACGAAAUGACCGGUAUGCCACAGGCUGGAUACUUCGAAAAGCACAUCUCGGUCUCCCGUAAAUCCGUCGAUAAAAUUGGCAUCUACUGGAAUGUCUAUGGCCUUGAUGAAAUGAUGAAAGUGGUUAAGAAGGAAUUGGUCGGCACCACAGUAGAAAACCUCAACAACAAGAACGUACAGAACAUUUUACUCCGCGCCGCUCAGGACAUGCCAAUGAAGAAACUCAUUCACGUUGACAUCUGCAUCACGCUGAACGGUCUCGUCAUCAUUACACAACACUUGGAUCAAAACACCUUCAAAAAUAUGUUGAACGAAAUGCAUCAGCUAAAACAGAUAAUGACCGCCAAUUUCCAGGAUAUCUUAUACGAGACUCUUUACGAGAUGCAAGUGCCCACUGAUAUGGGUUUGCAGGGAGUUUUUAGUACUAAGAUACCUCAAUUGUGGUCGCUAAAGUUCAACAACGUUUAUACCGAGGUCAAGAAACCGUCGGUGAAUAUGAAGUUCGAUGUCGACGCUCGCAUCUGGAGGCAUGGCGAAUACGCCAUGUCAAUCUAUAACCCGAUUGUCGACGUUUGGCACUCAAUUCGUCGCGCCACUGUCCAGGACACCGUCGUACCUAUGCAGAUGAGCGUCGGUUACAAUCACGAAGCGAAGAGCCUUAAGAUCAGCAUGCCGAGACUGCCGGUCAAUAACUAUCAGUUACGGGAAUACGGUCCUACGCGAAAAACCUGGUGACCGUCACCGAGGACGAGCAAGAUGUUCUCAAGACCUGCUGCGCUACCUGCCAUCAUCACACAGUCGUCACCACCGGCGAGAAAAAGAAUCAUCACGUCGCUAUGGAUUCUAAAGAUGUAGGCCUCAAAUACAGCAUGUCAAUCUUCGAUUGCGAGAACGAGAUGACCCCGAUGACUACGCCCAGGAAUGGCAACGUGUGCUCUCCAUGGAACACAAGAACACCUGGUAA